UAGAAAGACAAAAGCAUAAAAAACAACAACAUAUAUCUUAAUAACAUUAAGAGCAACAGCCCGGACAACAAAUGUGCAAACGACGUUCUCGAAAGUGAUGCACAUAAGAUAACUUUGGCACUUGCUUUAGCAGGACAAUAUGAUUCUCAAGUAGCUAAAAAGUCGCCAUCGCCUGCUGAUGCUAGUAAUAUGACAGGUAACGGCAUCGAUAGCUACUACCCGUGGACGCUUAGCUUAAUACACAGUAAAGACCCUCCCAGUGUUUCGUCGAAGGGCUGGACCGCUGACCACCAGACCAACAGCCGAACCAUAUCGAGAUCCGAAUUCUCAGAAAAGGAUUCUAUGCCCCUAUUAUUAUGUGCAAAGCGCUGUUAAAGAUUAGAGUGAGCUGGAGGUGGCAGGGCCGCAGUGCCUGAACCGUCGCCGUAGCGUCUGCUAUAAAGGAGGGAACACAAACAAUCAAAUUAAUUGACGGAAAGAUGUCGCCAGCUACGUAACUCUAAAUACACGAAACAAGAAAGACUACUGACGGUAUGUAUUGAACAAACAACAUACGCUGGAUCUAUUCGUACGGUCAUUUAUGCCUAUCUACGGUGCGGGACCAGCCACGAUGCCCGUGUGUUGUAAUUAUCAGCAUAAAAGGAGAAAAAAGCCUUCAAGAUUAAUCUACCAAGUAUCUAAUGCGAAAGAUCAGCUGAUAUUUUGCCCUAUAUACUGAAAACAUGUGAUCGGCAAUUUUGUGGAUUUAAGGGAACUUAGCUUAGCAAGUGUUUUGUGUUAUGAACGGCCUGGAGCAUGUCAAAAGGGACUGUCUUCUAAAAGCUAAUUUAAUAUUUACUAGCGUUUUAUCUCAGAGAUAAAAUUGGAUUCUGCACAGGAGUGUAGCUGAAACGUUUGCAUUACUCUGUAAAUCAAUGCUGGCCGUCUCUUCAGAUCAGCGACCCCCUGCUCUAACUCCAUGUGAGCAAAUAUAUACAACAUAGGUAAAUACACUCAACCGUUUACAUAUAUAAUGCCUGGCUAUUCAGUUAUUGAAAUCUAUACUUCCGAGAUACCAGUAGGUGUUUUAAGUUAGGCAGUCUAAGAGUAUCCUAUCGCAAUGGCCUUGGUCACUGAUAAUAAAAUGUAGACCCUACAAGGCAGAAAAACGAGAGACAAAACAUUUUUCAGUAACUCUAUGGCAUCAUAGAAAUUAUAUAGAUGAUGUUUAUAUGGAAAACGCAUGGUUAGUCGUAUUCAGAUUGUCCGAUGCGCUCACAUUGUGCGCCUCAGUCCGAGCUGAAGCAUGAGGAAAGCUCGGCUAGUUUGACUUAUUUUACGUAUAUAUGACAUUUGCUGGCCGUUGAAGCAAACGUUCCUGCUGGCUUCAGGAAUCGUGUAUCUGGAAGCCGAUAGUAGCACAUUUAACCCAGCUCCAAGGAGUCAGAAUCAAGAUGUAACCUUUUUAGAUCGAACUUAGAUCAAAUUUUCCUUAUACUUACAAAUGGUAAUAAAACAACUGCAACGAGAUUGGUUAUCUAAUUAAAACGUGAACGGAUCUAAAGGAUUGUUCCUGACUUUUAGUUUGUCAAUAUGAAUUGCUCGAUGCUUGUACCCGUAGCGCAGGGUCAAACCGAAGAAAAACAUCUGCGUGCAGAGCUUCGACCAUCGAAAACAGUAGAUCUGGAUUUGAAGUUUAGUACGUGAUAUCCGUACCGAAUGGCAUGACGUCCGUCCUAAACUGAUCCUGAUAAAAAUAGCUCAAUAUCCGCGUGGUUUGUGGCCAACAGGCAGUCAUUGUGUACCAUACGGUAAGAUGGCCCUGUUUGACAUGUUUGUCCAGCAUAGGCCAAACAUAUCGACGAUUAUAUGUAUCGAUAUAUACUUAGCACGAUCCCACCGAUUGAACGAUGUAGUGAA
Molecule: long non-coding RNA, 1899 nt
Organism: Varroa destructor (honeybee mite)
Lineage: Eukaryota; Metazoa; Arthropoda; Arachnida; Mesostigmata; Varroidae
Source: RefSeq, a predicted model, not a curated record